UACGUAGGGGGCGAGCGUUGUCCGGAUUUAUUGGGCGUAAAGAGCGUGUAGGCGGCCAGGUAGGUCUGCUGUGAAAACUCGAGGCUCAACCUCGGGCCUGCAGUGGGUACGGGCAGACUAGAGUGCGGUAGGGGAGAUUGGAAUUCCUGGUGUAGCGGUGGAAUGCGCAGAUAUCAGGAGGAACACCAAUGGCGAAGGCAGAUCUCUGGGCCGUAACUGACGCUGAGGAGCGAAAGCAUGGGGAGCGAACAGG
This 253-nucleotide ribosomal RNA is filed under the name uncultured bacterium. Its description in RNAcentral is "partial 16S ribosomal RNA". It matches the Rfam family "Bacterial small subunit ribosomal RNA", at positions 524 to 776 of the family's 1533-position model. The record is from RNAcentral.